AUACGGAGGAUGCGAGCGUUAUCCGGAUUUAUUGGGUUUAAAGGGAGCGUAGGCGGGAGCUUAAGUCAGCGGUUAAAUGGUGCGGCUCAACCGUGCCCUGCCGUUGAAAAUGGGUUUCUUGAGCGUGCAAGAGGCGGAUGGAAUUCAUGGUGUCGCGGAGGAAUGCUUAGAUAUCAUGAAGAACUCCGAUUGCGAAGGCAGUCCGCUGGGGCACGUCUGACGCUGAUGCUCGAAGGUGCGGGAAUCAAACAGGAUUAGAUACCCUGGUAGUCCGCACGGUAAACGAUGAUUACCCGCUGUCGGCGGUAGACAGUCGGCGGCCAAGCGAAAGCGAUAAGUAAUCCACCUGGGGAGUACGCCGGCAACGGUGAAACUCAAAUGAAUUGACGGGG
This 392-nucleotide ribosomal RNA is filed under the name uncultured bacterium. RNAcentral describes it as "partial 16S ribosomal RNA". It matches the Rfam family "Bacterial small subunit ribosomal RNA", at positions 523 to 918 of the family's 1533-position model. The record is from RNAcentral.